GAUGAACGCUAGCGGCAGGCCUAAUACAUGCAAGUCGAACGGUAACAUGAGUAGCAAUACUUGAUGACGAGUGGCGCACGGGUGCGUAACACGUAUGUAAUCUACCCACAACUGGGGGAUAGCCCGGAGAAAUCCGGAUUAACACCCCAUAACACAACGAAGCGGCAUCGCUUUGUUGUUAAACCUCAGGGGGUUGGUGGAUGAACAUGCGCCCGAUUAGCUAGUUGGCGGGGUAAUGGCCCACCAAGGCAACGAUCGGUAGGGGUACUGAGACGG
Molecule: ribosomal RNA, 276 nt
Filed under: uncultured bacterium
Lineage: Bacteria
Description: partial 16S ribosomal RNA
Rfam family: Bacterial small subunit ribosomal RNA
Source: RNAcentral